RNAcentral lists this ribosomal RNA (253 nucleotides) under uncultured bacterium. RNAcentral describes it as "partial 16S ribosomal RNA". It matches the Rfam family "Bacterial small subunit ribosomal RNA", at positions 524 to 776 of the family's 1533-position model. The record is from RNAcentral.
UACAGCGGUCUCAAGCGUUGUUCGGAUUCAUUGGGCGUAAAGGGCGCGUAGGUGGUUGGGUAAGUCAAAUGUGAAAUCCCGGAGCUCAACUCCGGAACUGCAUUCGAUACUGCCCGGCUCGAGGAUUGGAGAGGAGACUGGAAUUCACGGUGUAGCAGUGAAAUGCGUAGAGAUCGUGAGGAACACCCGUGGCGAAGGCGGGUCUCUGGACAAUUCCUGACACUGAUGCACGAAGGCCAGGGGAGCAAACGGG